RNAcentral lists this long non-coding RNA (270 nucleotides) under Lotus japonicus. RNAcentral describes it as "long non-coding RNA (LJAP_LNC000182)". Lineage: Eukaryota; Viridiplantae; Streptophyta; Magnoliopsida; Fabales; Fabaceae. The record is from RNAcentral.
AGAAAAAGUAUAAUUACAAACCACUAGGAGAAAGUCGGCCUCAAAAUGGCCUAAGCAAAGACCCCUAUGGUCCGACUGACUCACUGUGAUCCCUCCGUAAGAGAACCACACAAAAAGCCAUGCAUCGGGAACCUACCCUGUCCCAAAAGCAAAACGAAUCAGAGCUAUUACAGUAACAACCAACUCCAAAAGACUCUAACCACCCAUACCCCACACUACUAUCAUCGACCCUCCCUCGAUCAGGCAUGAAGUCCGGGUCCUCGUCGAAAG